AUGGAAUGUAACAGCAGCCAGUGCCUGCCUUCAGAUCAUACCAUGGUGGAACCCAAGGCAUCAUGUAUUCAGCAGGGAAUUCUGAUCAGGGACGCCAUCAACCAAAAGGCCUUUUUCAAAUCAAGAAACAGAAUGGCCCCCAUGCAACUCUUACUUUCAAAAUGCAGUAGACCUGGUGCCAGAAGCCUGUGUUUCCUCCAAAUGUAUGUCUCACACCCAGAAAUGAAGGCCCAGAUCCUCUGAAAGUAUGUAGCCCAGCACUCACCACAGUGCGUCAUUACACACUUGCUCUGCAGGUGACCCAGUGCCAUUUUUAAACUCUUGUAUUGAAGUAUAUCAGAUAAACAGGAAAAGUACACAUAUCAUAUAUAACUUGAUGAAUUUCUACAAAGUAAACAUAUCCCUGUAAACAGCAUCCAGAUCAAGAAACAAAACACCCCCCAGAACUCAAAGACACCUAUCCUGACUUCUUUCACUGUAGAUUAGUGUUGUCUGUCUUUAGAUCUUCUCUAAAUGCGGUUGUUCAGCGUGUACUCUUUUAUGUCUGGCUUCUUUUGUUUGAUAGUCAUUUUAUGAACUUCAGACCUCGAGUCUUAAAAAUUUAUUUAUUUUAAAAAAUUUUUUUAAAGAAAAAGAGGAGAGAGUGGGCCGGCCUCUGUGAAAUGAGAUCAGCCUGAAGUCUUUUUGUCAAGAAAAAUUAGGAGGAACUUCAUUAUUUCUGUCUAAUGAACUAAGGAUAGGAAUCCCUACUCGUCUCUGUGAUUUAUUUGUUUGUUUAUUUAUUCAUUUAUUCAUUUUCUUUUGAGAUGGGGUCUCACUCUGCUACCCAGGCUGGAGUGCAAUGGUGUAAUCAUGGCUCACUGCAGCGUCGACCUCCUGAGCUCAAACAAUCCUCCCACCUCAGCCUCCUGAUACUGAAUCAAUUCAGAGGGACUCAGGCCAUUGCAAAGUUGUGUCUUUGCCUUGAGAAUGUCUAUAAUCUCACUCAGGUACAAGAAAGUGUCUUAAGAGUGUCUGUAAUAUCACUCAGGUAAAAGAAAAUGGUGGAUGGAAAAUAACCUUCCAAAGAAGCUUGGGUUAAUUUAAGCACCCAAGAAAUGUUAAUCUUGGGCAACACUUCAGCCUUGUUCCAGUAGCUCCUGAGUACAAUAUUCUGGCAAUUUCUCAAACUUUAAUAUGCAUCAGAGGUCCUCAUGUACCAGCAGAGCUCAUUAACACACAGAUUGCUGGGUCUCACCCCCAGAGUUUCUGGUUCAGUAGAUCUGGGAUGGGGGCUUGAGAAUUUGCAUUUCUAACACAUCCCCAGGUGAUGCCCAUACUCCUGGUUCUGGGACCACACUUUGAGAACCGCUGAUCUAUUCGUUAUCACACCUUCCUGAAGUCCAAGGAGUCUAUGAAGAUGGCCCAGGGAGCGCCUUGGAGAGCACUUCAGGGAGCAAGGAGAGUAAGUUGGUGAGAUCAGAACUCUCAACUCCACUUCAACCAGAGAAGCUCUCCUCUUGUUUGGUAUUUGGGGGGAUUCCGGGUAAUACUUGCAGAAAGGGUUCUGCUACUAAAAUAUUUUAAAGUUGAAACUCACUGUGGUAAGAAAUUUUAGACCCUAGGGGAAUGAUAUACUUAAACGACAUGGUGGUGUGUCUGGAAAGUAAUCCAGCCUGCUACAGAAGCCUGGCCUCAUGUGUGCUCACAAUCUAGAUGGUCCUGAGGGGAGACUUAAUUUCUUUAGAACUUAAAGAAGUGGAUAUUUAUGAGGAUGGAAAUGAUAAGGAAGAAUGCUUAAUUAUAAAAAGGUGCCAAAUUGUGUGUAUAAAACAUGGUUUCUUCUGGCAACACAGCACACUAAGAUGAUAAGACUAGUGCCUCGUUCCCAAUACAAACAUAGACUAACACUAGAUCAACUAGAACAAAAGUUUACAUUUCUAGCUGAGCUUUAAAAAAAUAAAAAGCAAAAGCUGUAGGGAAACAAAAGGAAAAACAAAAGGCAGUGUAGUAAUUGUAAACAGACACUGCAGUGUCCUGUGUGGUAUUGGUUCCAGAUAUCAGGCCCUAAUGGCUAGGGACUUGGAGCUGGGAGUCCAAUACCCAUCCAGGUGCUGACAACACAGCUUCAGGUCCACCACAGGCAGAGAAGCUAUAGUUGAAACCUCUGGGUAAAGCCUUUAAUAGCUUCUCUUGUCCAUUAAAAGGGGGUUAGAGAAUAAACAAUGAAAGGGCUUAUGUUGUCUGUGGAACCACAAGGAGAAAUAAAAAUCUCAGGCCUAUGUUCUAUGUGGAUGUGGGGUCAAAAUUUACUAUGUGGUAUGGGAACCACUUGCUGAAAAGUUAAAAGUUGAGACAGAACCAUUGAAACUUAUAGAAUCUCAGCAAAAGCAAACGCAAUACAUUUUUGUGAUCCAGGGUAAUGGAACGCCACAGAAAAAGAAAGGAUCUCCUGAAGAUGGGCUCAGAAAUAAGCAACAGUAGAAAUCAAGUCCUUGCAUAUAAAUGAUAUGCCAUGAAGGAGAGUCACCAGUUGCCAUAAGGAGAAUUAGUACCCCCAAGAAAUACUGCUGAGAAGAACUGCUUCUCUUUUUUUGAGAGUGAAAUGAGGAAACUUUCAGGGAAAAAAAAACAAAACAAAAUUAAGAACAUUUAGCAAUAAUAGCGUCUCACAAGAAUAACUACCAUAAGAGAUACUUCAGGAAGGAGGAACAUGAAAGUAGAGAGAAGGGGUGAAUAGGAGGCAAGGAACAGUGAACAAAAAUUGUAAACGUGGGGAACUCUAAAUAAGCAUUAAUUAUAUAAGGCAAUAAUAAUGCUAAAGAACAUGGGAGUAUAAAAACAAGCUGGCACUAAAAACAGAAGCACACAAAAACAUGUAGGACACACCCCACAAAUAUGUGCAACUAUUAUGUAUUCAUAAAAAGAAAAAUAAAUAAACAUGUAAGACAGCAGGGCACUAUUCAUAUUUAAAGCAUUCUAAGGUGGUUGUAUCGUUUGGAAAGACAGUAGGGAUAUUGCCUGAAUUUAGACCUUGUUAAGUCAAGUAUGAAUGUUUAACCACUUAAGAGUAUGGACUUCUAGGUUCUGGCAAUGGGAGAAUUAGUUAUUUGAUUUGACUUUAUUAUUGAAUUAAUGAAAAAAUGCUGAAUAAAAUAUUUUGAAACUACUUUAAAAGCACUGAAGAACUGAGAGGACAAAGGAAAACUUCCAGGCCAACUUUUGGAUGACAGCUGUAACCAAACAAGUAAACAGAAUAUAGAGGCACCAAAGCCAAUUUGCUUUAAGGGCAUUUGCCUACACUGCCCACCUGAGCUUUGAUUCAAUGGCCACACAGGGUUGGGGGAAAGAAGGCA
Molecule: long non-coding RNA, 3335 nt
Filed under: Macaca mulatta (Rhesus monkey)
Lineage: Eukaryota; Metazoa; Chordata; Mammalia; Primates; Cercopithecidae
Description: lncRNA (ENSMMUG00000050506.1)
Source: RNAcentral